GUGCCAGCAGCCGCGGUAAUACGGAGGGUCCAAGCGUUAUCCGGAAUCAUUGGGUUUAAAGGGUCCGCAGGCGGGCUGAUAAGUCAGUGGUGAAAUCUCUCAGCUUAACUGGGAAACUGCCAUUGAUACUGUUAGUCUUGAAUUCGGUCGAAGUAGGCGGAAUGUGUCAUGUAGCGGUGAAAUGCAUAGAUAUGACACAGAACACCGAUAGCGAAGGCAGCUUACUAGGCCUGAAUUGACGCUCAUGGACGAAAGCGUGGGGAGCAAACAGGAUUAGAUACCCUGGUAGUCCACGCCGUAAACGAUGAUUACUCGAUAUCAGCGAUAUACUGUUGGUGUCUAAGCGAAAGUGAUAAGCAAUCCACCUGGGGAGUACGAUCGCAAGGUUGAA
RNAcentral lists this ribosomal RNA (391 nucleotides) under uncultured bacterium. RNAcentral's name for it is "bacterial SSU rRNA". It matches the Rfam family "Bacterial small subunit ribosomal RNA", at positions 505 to 898 of the family's 1533-position model. The record is from RNAcentral.